CUAAUCCCGGGUCAAUCUGAAUCUCGGACGGUAGAGGUGGCCUCGAAUCCCCACCCGGGGUUCAGAUGCCCGCGAUGUGCCGCGUCGUCUAUCGAUGAGUCCUAUGCAACAUUUGGCGUCUUCGCGAGGGUGUGUGCGAGGGUGGUGCGAUUUGCGGCCACUUUGCCAGACCGAUCUCCCGACCUCUCUCGGCUUCACGAGAGGAGGACUCCGCUACCUCGCUCGUCCGAUCUGGGGCUCCCGCCAUCGCAGCGUGGUCAGUGCUUUUGGGGCAGCGUGAGUGAGUGAGUGGGCCACGGCCAAUGUGAAACGCUUCGUCGAAUUGCGGCGAUGGUUUAUGAUCCUGUAUGAUGGGGUUGCCAGGCGGCUGCCGAUCUCUGGAUGCAGGAGGAGAAGUUUCAUCGUCUAGCGUGGGCCUGGAAACUAAAACUCGCAAGCUGGAAUGAGGAGCUUGAGCCGAAGAGAUGGGGAGUGGGUUUCAGUGGUUAGCGUGAGGUGCAAGCGGACUUGGAGUUUCCUACGGAGUUGACGCGGGAAAUGUAUUACAUCGGAAGUGAGUUGAUAUGGAUCCACGCUGUGCAGGAGCAGGGGGCGUUAGUGCAUUAUUGCAAGGCGUCAAUAAGUGCAAUAUUUUGUACAUGGUUGUGAGUUUAUGUCGAAAUGUGAAAACUGCAAAGGGGAGUUGAUGAAGGGCCAUUAGAAACGAGGACGGUGCUUAAACUGUGGCUUAAGUUUUAAUAAAUUGAAGACUAACCUUGAGACCAUCGUGUCCGAUUGCAUACA
Long non-coding RNA from Physcomitrium patens, 783 nucleotides. RefSeq lists it as uncharacterized. The record is from RefSeq and is a predicted model, not a curated record. NCBI's taxonomy places the organism in Eukaryota, Viridiplantae, Streptophyta, Bryopsida, Funariales, Funariaceae.